Molecule: ribosomal RNA, 526 nt
Filed under: uncultured bacterium
Lineage: Bacteria
Description: bacterial SSU rRNA
Rfam family: Bacterial small subunit ribosomal RNA
Source: RNAcentral
UGAGGAAUAUUGCGCAAUGAGCGACAGCUAGACGCAGCAACGCCGCGUGGACGAUGAAGGCCUUCGGGUCGUAAAGUCCUUUUCAGAGGGACGAGUGAGGACGGUACCUCUGGAAUAAGUCACGGCUAACUACGUGCCAGCAGCCGCGGUAAAACGUAGGUGGCGAGCGUUAUCCGGAUUCACUGGGCGUAAAGCGCCUGCAGGCGGUCUCGUAAGUGGGAUGUGAAAUCUCCUGGCUCAACUGGGAGGGGCCAUUCCAUACUGCGGGGCUGGAGGGCGGAAGAGGGAAGCGGAAUUCCCGGUGUAGUGGUGAAAUGCGUAGAUAUCGGGAGGAACACCAGUGGCGAAGGCGGCUUCCUGGUCUGCUCCUGACGCUAAGAGGCGAAAGCUAGGGGAGCGAACGGGAUUAGAAACCCCGGUAGUCCUAGCCGUAAACGAUGGAUACUAGGUGUCGGUGGUCCAAACCCCAUCGGUGCCGAAGCUAACGCGUUAAGUAUCCCGCCUGGGGACUACGGCCGCAAGGUUA